This 344-nucleotide unclassified non-coding RNA is filed under the name soil metagenome. RNAcentral describes it as "partial contains 5.8S ribosomal RNA, internal transcribed spacer 2, and large subunit ribosomal RNA". The stretch from base 1 to 121 matches the Rfam family "5.8S ribosomal RNA", at positions 35 to 154 of the family's 154-position model. The record is from RNAcentral.
GAUGAAGAACGCAGCGAAAUGCGAUAAGUAAUGCGAAUUGCAGAAUUCCAGUGAGUCAUCGAAUCUUUGAACGCACAUUGCGCCCGCCAGCAUUCUGGCGGGCAUGCCUGUUCGAGCGUCAUUUCAACCCUCGACCUCCCUUUGGGGAAGUCGGCGUUGGGGACCGGCAGCACACCGCCGGCCCUGAAAUGGAGUGGCGGCCCGUCCGCGGCGACCUCUGCGUAGUAAACCAACUCGCACCGGAACCCCGACGUGGCCACGCCGUAAAACACCCAACUUCUGAACGUUGACCUCGAAUCAGGUAGGACUACCCGCUGAACUUAAGCAUAUCAAUAAGCGGAGGA